This 578-nucleotide unclassified non-coding RNA is filed under the name Melitaea cinxia (Glanville fritillary). RNAcentral's name for it is "misc RNA ENSMCXG00005014233.1". The record is from RNAcentral. Lineage: Eukaryota; Metazoa; Arthropoda; Insecta; Lepidoptera; Nymphalidae.
GCUCACCCCAAAUACGGCUACUCGUACUCAGUAGAAGACCCCCAUACUGGUGACCAUAAAUCCCAUCACGAAAACCGCGACGGUGACGUAGUCAAGGGCGAAUACUCUUUUCUUCAGCCUGAUGGCUCUUUCCGCAAGGUGACUUACACUGCUGACCAUCAUAAUGGAUUCAACGCUGUCGUCCACAACUCGCCUCCAGUCAUCCAUCAUCAUUAGAGCUUGUCAACUGAACUGUGAUAUUAGUGUAGAUAAUUUAGUUCUCUAGAUAAGCUUAUAAAUACCAGUGUAUUCUUCGUGAUCUUCGGCUCUUGUAACUUUUGCUUUAUUAUUAAUAAAAUGUAUGAUGGGUUUCAUUAAUACAUAAUAUCAACAUGGUGUAAUGGUUCUCGAAAAAAUUUAUCAGAUGAUUCUCAAUUUAAACAUUUGUUUAUUUGAUGCAAUAUUGUUACACCUGCCAAAAUAUGUAAGAAUUUUAAUGAGUGUGUUUUUUGAAUGUUUUGUGUGGUGAUAUAUUUUAUAUUAUUGUAUGAGUGUAUGUGAAACCCAACACUUUGAAUAAAAUAUCUUUAUACUUUAAA